MicroRNA precursor from Amphilophus citrinellus (Midas cichlid), 60 nucleotides. The record is from Ensembl. NCBI's taxonomy places the organism in Eukaryota, Metazoa, Chordata, Actinopteri, Cichliformes, Cichlidae.
UCCGUGGCCCCUGAUGCGGAGCUGAUGAGCGGCCACAGCCCGCACCACGGCCGCGGAGGC